RNAcentral lists this long non-coding RNA (492 nucleotides) under Salvia miltiorrhiza (redroot sage). RNAcentral's name for it is "long non-coding RNA (SMIL_LNC013761)". Lineage: Eukaryota; Viridiplantae; Streptophyta; Magnoliopsida; Lamiales; Lamiaceae. The record is from RNAcentral.
GAGAAUUAAGAAAAUAGUAUUUUGUGUGUAGGUGAAAAAGUGAAAAUGUGAAUAAAGAGUAAAUUUUUUGCUAAACAAGGAAAUAUCUUAAGAUAGGUGGAACGCUCAAAAAGGAAAGUGUCUCAAGAUAGGUGGGACGGAGGGAUUAUUUAUUAUGAAAAUAAAAAAUUUAUAAUAUAAAAGUAUUUACGACUAAAGAUUAAAGCUUAAAGAAAUAAUGUAUCCUAAUUACGAAAUACUCGAUCUUAAUAAUCUAUUAUUAAUUUUGAAAUUAAAAUUAAAUGGUAAAGAAAUAACUGUAUGCUUCAAGUUGGUAUAAUUAACCCUGAUUAAUACAUAAUUAAACUAAAACACAAAAUCUAAAGAUUGAAGAAAAAAAUAAUAAAAAUAUGGAAAGUAGGACAUGGUUAGGAGUGAGAGACUGAGAGUGGUCACUAAUUUACCUUCUUUUUUUGAUAAAUUUAUAAUAUUAAAUAAAGAAAUUAAAAGAUC